RNAcentral lists this unclassified non-coding RNA (232 nucleotides) under Hevea brasiliensis (rubber tree). The record is from RNAcentral. Lineage: Eukaryota; Viridiplantae; Streptophyta; Magnoliopsida; Malpighiales; Euphorbiaceae.
GUUCGUCAUGAAGUUCAGAGAAGUGAUCCCAAUACCCAGAUUCCAAGAGUUGAAGUGUUUUGAAACGAAGACCCUCGACGGACCGUUGUGCCUAUGACUGUCCGUCAUACUUGCCGUCGAGGGGAUUGAAGAGAGCAGCAGAAGAAAUUGCUAAGUAUGGGACGAUGGAGACGGUCCGUCGCGACCACGACGGUCCGUCGCGAGGUCCGUCGACCCAGCCGCGUUUUGGCAG